This 332-nucleotide ribosomal RNA is filed under the name uncultured microorganism. Its description in RNAcentral is "bacterial SSU rRNA". It matches the Rfam family "Archaeal small subunit ribosomal RNA", at positions 330 to 661 of the family's 1478-position model. The record is from RNAcentral.
GCGCAGCAGGCAAGAAACCUCCGCAAUACACGAAAGUGUGACGGGGCCAUCCCGAGUGCCGUCCGCUGAGGACGGCUUUUCCCCAGUGUACAUAGCUGGGGGAAUAAGGAGAGGGCAAGCCUGGUGUCAGCCGCCGCGGUAAUACCAGCUCUCCGAGUGGUGGGGACGCUUAUUGGGCCUAAAGCAUCCGUAGCCGGCUAGGCAAGUCCUCCGUUAAAUCCAACGAUUCAAUCGUUGGGCUGCGGGGAUACUGUCCAGCUUGGGGGCGGGAGAGGCCGACGGUAUUCCCCGGGGUAGGGGUGAAAUCCGUAUAAUCCCCGGGGAGGACCACC